Molecule: ribosomal RNA, 615 nt
Filed under: Astaena sp. BMNH 671341
Lineage: Eukaryota; Metazoa; Arthropoda; Insecta; Coleoptera; Scarabaeidae
Description: partial 16S large subunit ribosomal RNA
Rfam family: Bacterial large subunit ribosomal RNA
Source: RNAcentral
UUUAAGGUCUAACCUGCCCGAUGAGGAUUUAAAUGGCCGCAGUAUUUUGACUGUGCAAAGGUAGCAUAAUAAUUAGUUUUUUAAUUGGAAGCUAGUAUGAAUGGUUGGACGAGAAAAUAGCUGUCUUUAGGUAAUUUAAUUAGAAUUUUAUUUUUAAGUAAGAAAGCUUAAAUAUUUUUAAAAGACGAGAAGACCCUAUAGAAUUUAAUAUUUAUAUAGAUUUUAAUGUUUGUUGGUAUUAUUUAUUUUAAAUUUAUAUUAAUAUUUUAUUGGGGUGAUAGUAAAAUUAAAAUAACUUUUAUUUUUUAAAACAUUUAUUUAUGAGUUAUUGAUCCAUUAUUAAUGAUUAUAAGAUUAAAUUACCUUAGGGAUAACAGCGUAAUUUUUUUUUAGAGUUCUUAUUGUAAGGAAAGUUUGCGACCUCGAUGUUGGAUUAAAAUUAACUAUUGGUGUAGUGGCUAAUAAGUUAGGUCUGUUCGACCUUUAAAAUUUUACAUGAUCUGAGUUUAAACCGGUGUGAGCCAGGUUGGUUUCUAUCUUUAAUUAAUUAGAAUAUUUUAGUACGAAAGGACCAAAUAUUUAUAAAUUUUAUUUUUUUAUUGAAUAAUAUUAAUG